ACUAAAACGUAGUAUAUAACUUUUUUAAGGUAGAAAGAUUGUUUUUAAAAAGCACAGUGUGUUCCAUUACACUGACAAGGAAUUUAAUGGUCUCUUUCUUUUACAGCCAGAUGUAAUUGUUGUAUCAGCUCUCCAGGUAUAUAAGCACACGCUGAAGUUUAUUUUGAUCCAGUAAAUCAGACAUAAACCAACAAAGCAAUUAUCAGCAUGAAGAAGAGAUCCAGAAAGAAACACAGCAGCAAGAGAAUAAAACUUGGAGGAGGAAAUCAGAUGCACAGUGUCCCUUGUGGCUUGAAAAAAAGCAACUGAGAAAACUGUGGUUGAAGCACUCGACAAGGACUCAGAGUCCUGGAGCAGCAUACAGGAGAAAGUAAAAGGAGAAAAGACAAGUGGGAGGGCAAGAGCUGCCAGGAGUAGGGAAAAACUAGAAAAACGAUGGGACGUGGCAUUUUCUUGUGCAUUUUUAAGAAGGAAUGUUUACUUUUACCACACUUCAGCUUAAUCUGAGAAAGUCACAGCUCUCCAGCUGUCCAUCUACACCAGGUUUAGGUGAAAGGGCUGCCAG
RNAcentral lists this long non-coding RNA (565 nucleotides) under Anas platyrhynchos platyrhynchos (common mallard). RNAcentral describes it as "lncRNA (ENSAPLG00000017389.1)". Lineage: Eukaryota; Metazoa; Chordata; Aves; Anseriformes; Anatidae. The record is from RNAcentral.